GAUGAACGCUGACAGAAUGCUUAACACAUGCAAGUCUACUUGAUCCUUCGGGUGAUGGUGGCGGACGGGUGAGUAACGCGUAAAGAACUUGCCCUGCAGUCUGGGACAACAUUUGGAAACGAAUGCUAAUACCGGAUAUUAUGUGAGUUUCGCAUGAAGUUCAUAUGAAAGCUAUAUGCGCUGCAGGAGAGCUUUGCGUCCUAUUAGCUAGUUGGUGAGGUAACGGCUCACCAAGGCGAUGAUAGGUAGCCGGCCUGAGAGGGUGAACGGCCACAAGGGGACUGAGACACGGCCCUUACUCCUACGGGAGGCAGCAGUGGGGAAUAUUGGACAAUGGACCAAAAGUCUGAUCCAGCAAUUCUGUGUGCACGAUGAAGUUUUUCGGAAUGUAAAGUGCUUUCAGUUGGGACGAAGUAAGUGACGGUACCAACAGAAGAAGCGACGGCUAAAUACGUGCCAGCAGCCGCGGUAAUACGUAUGUCGCAAGCGUUAUCCGGAUUUAUUGGGCGUAAAGCGCGUCUAGGCGGUUUGGUAAGUCUGAUGUGAAAAUGCGGGGCUCAACUCCGUAUUGCGUUGGAAACUGCCAAACUAGAGUACUGGAGAGGUGGGCGGAACUACAAGUGUAGAGGUGAAAUUCGUAGGUAUUUGUAGGAAUGCCGAUGGGGAAGCCAGCCCACUGGACAGAUACUGACGCUAAAGCGCGAAAGCGUGGGUAGCAAACAGG
Molecule: ribosomal RNA, 724 nt
Filed under: uncultured bacterium
Lineage: Bacteria
Description: bacterial SSU rRNA
Rfam family: Bacterial small subunit ribosomal RNA
Source: RNAcentral